CCCCUGUUUUGUAAUGAAAUCGGUGAGGGUUUGGUUUAUGGCUGUUUGUUGGCUUUAAGUAGUCGGCUCGGCUGAAAUAUACGAGCUACCCAAUUUGAAAAAUGAGCGGUUUGACUCGGCGUAAUAAAUGUUUCGCUGAGGACGCUUCGAAAUUCAAGAUAGUGGUGCUUCUAAUGCAUAAAUUCAUUUAAGCUUUAGACCUCAAAUCAGAUAGGACUACCCGCUGAACUUAAGCAUAUCAAUAAGCGGAGGAAAAGAAACUAACAAGGAUUCCCCUAGUAACGGCGAGUGAAGUGGGAAAAGCUCAACUUUGAAAUCUGGCAGCUUCGCUGUCCGAGUUGUAGUCUCGAGAAGUGUUUUCCGCGUUGGCACGUGUAUGAGUCUGUUGGAACACAGCGUCAUAGAGGGUGAGAACCCCGUUCACGACACGUCUACCAAUGCUUUGUGAUACAUUUUCGAUGAGUCGAGUUGUUUGGGAAUGCAGCUCAAAAUGGGUGGUAAAUUCCAUCUAAAGCUAAAUAUUGGCGAGAGACCGAUAGCAAACAAGUACCGUGAGGGAAAGAUGAAAAGCACUUUGGAAAGAGAGUUAAAAGUACGUGAAAUUGUUGAAAGGGAAACGCUUGAAGUCAGACGUGCGCGGUACUUGUACCACUGCAGGCCAGCAUCGGUUUUGUGAGCCGGAUAAAGGUUAAAGGAAGGUGGCAGUCUCGGCUGUGUUAUAGCCUCUAACUGAAUACGGAAUACGAGAUCGAG
Molecule: ribosomal RNA, 753 nt
Filed under: uncultured Cyphobasidiales
Lineage: Eukaryota; Fungi; Basidiomycota; Cystobasidiomycetes; Cyphobasidiales
Description: eukaryotic LSU rRNA
Rfam family: Eukaryotic large subunit ribosomal RNA (bases 197-753)
Source: RNAcentral